AAGUCGUAACAAGGUUUCCGUAGGUGAACCUGCGGAAGGAUCAUUAUCGAGUUUUGACCGGGUUGUAGCUGGCCUUCCGAGGCAUGUGCACGCCCUGCUCAUCCAGUCUACACCUGUGCACUUACUGUGGGCUUCAGAUCGCGAGGCAGGCUCUUUACCGGGCUUGCGGAGCGCAUCUGUGCCUGCGUUUAUCACAAACUCUAUAAAGUAACAGAAUGUGUAUUGCGAUGUAACGCAUCUAUAUACAACUUUCAGCAACGGAUCUCUUGGCUCUC
Molecule: unclassified non-coding RNA, 275 nt
Filed under: Ganoderma lucidum
Lineage: Eukaryota; Fungi; Basidiomycota; Agaricomycetes; Polyporales; Polyporaceae
Description: partial internal transcribed spacer region
Rfam family: Eukaryotic small subunit ribosomal RNA (bases 1-46)
Source: RNAcentral